AUACAAGGGGGAAUCACUGAGCUGAUGAGUGAGCCUAACCAUUUGCCCGACACCAUUGCAGAAACUGGUUAUUUUACCAAGGCUUUGACUGGAAUAGUGUGCUUCCCUUUAAGGAAUCAAACUUGACUUUUGGAGCUAAUAAAAGCCCCUUGGGAAAACUGCUCUCUUACCUUGUCUACACAGUCUCUGGACAGAGUUCCUGACCUGUG
This 209-nucleotide unclassified non-coding RNA is filed under the name Homo sapiens (human). RNAcentral describes it as "long intergenic non-protein coding RNA 2735 (ENSG00000281839.1)". The record is from RNAcentral. Lineage: Eukaryota; Metazoa; Chordata; Mammalia; Primates; Hominidae.